CUAGUCUUGACAUCCACGGAAUUCUCUAGAGAUAGCUUAGUGCCUUCGGGAACCCUGAGACAGGUGCUGCAUGGCUGUCGUCAGCUCGUGUUGUGAAAUGUUGGGUUAAGUCCCGCAACGAGCGCAACCCCUUAUCCUUAUUUGCCAGCACGUAAUGGGGGGAACUCUAGGGAGACUGCCGGUGAUAAACCGGAGGAAGGGGGGGACGACGUCAAGUCAUCAUGGCCCUUACGAGGAGGGCUACACACGUGCUACAAUGGGGAGUACAGAGGGUUGCAAACCCGCGAGGGGAAGCUAAUCUCAAAAAGCUCGUCGUAUUCCGGAUUGGAGUCUGCAACUCGACUCCAUGAAGUCGGAAUCGCUAGUAAUCGGGGAUCACAAUGCCGCGGGGAAUA
Molecule: ribosomal RNA, 395 nt
Filed under: uncultured bacterium
Lineage: Bacteria
Description: bacterial SSU rRNA
Rfam family: Bacterial small subunit ribosomal RNA
Source: RNAcentral